RNAcentral lists this ribosomal RNA (464 nucleotides) under uncultured bacterium. RNAcentral's name for it is "partial 16S ribosomal RNA". It matches the Rfam family "Bacterial small subunit ribosomal RNA", at positions 29 to 507 of the family's 1533-position model. The record is from RNAcentral.
ACGAACGCUGGCGGCGUGCUUAACACAUGCAAGUCGAACGGAAAGGCCCUGCUUGCAGGGUACUCGAGUGGCGAACGGGUGAGUAACACGUGGGUGAUCUGCCCUGCACUUCGGGAUAAGCCUGGGAAACUGGGUCUAAUACCGGAUAGGAGCCAUUUUUAGUGUGAUGGUUGGAAAGUUUUUUCGGUGUAGGAUGAGCUCGCGGCCUAUCAGCUUGUUGGUGGGGUAAUGGCCUACCAAGGCGGCGACGGGUAGCCGGCCUGAGAGGGUGGACGGCCACAUUGGGACUGAGAUACGGCCCAGACUCCUACGGGAGGCAGCAGUGGGGAAUAUUGCACAAUGGGCGCAAGCCUGAUGCAGCGACGCCGCGUGGGGGAUGACGGCCUUCGGGUUGUAAACUCCGUUCGCUAGGGACGAAGCUUUUUGUGACGGUACCUAGAUAAGAAGCACCGGCUAACUACGUG